UGUUUCAGUCCGGGUGCUAAAUUUGUUUUCGUGUUUCCUCCUCAGUGGCUAGCAGGAACCGGUGGAUAAAGUGAAUAGUCAUGAUUCUCGAACUGUAAUUACAAUGGGGUCUCAUGAAAAAAUAUUAGCCUGAGAUGUUGAGAUGGAGCAGGACAAUGCAGGGAGCGGGAACUCUGAGGAUGUGCGGAGCAGCGAGACUUCCCCUGUGACCUGCGCGGCAGACACCAACCCUCUCCCCUGCGCUGCAGACACCAACCCUCUCCCUUGCGCUGCAGACACCAACCCUCUCCCUUGCGCUGCAGACACCAACCCUCUCCCCUCUGAAGCUCAACCAAGCACCAGCUGUGAAGAGCAAGAGCUCAGCGACGCUCCUUUGUUAGAAAACCACAUCCAGUCAGAGGAGACUGAGUCACACCCGGAUGGGCAUGU
Long non-coding RNA from Alosa alosa (allis shad), 429 nucleotides. RefSeq lists it as uncharacterized. The transcript has 3 exons. The record is from RefSeq and is a predicted model, not a curated record. Lineage: Eukaryota; Metazoa; Chordata; Actinopteri; Clupeiformes; Clupeidae.